GACGAACGCUGGCGGCGUGCUUAACACAUGCAAGUCGAACGAAGAGCGACGGAAGCUUGCUUCUAUCAAUCUUAGUGGCGAACGGGUGAGUAACGCGUAAUCAACCUGCCCUUCAGAGGGGGACAACAGUUGGAAACGACUGCUAAUACCGCAUACGAUCUAACCUCGGCAUCGAGGAUAGAUGAAAGGUGGCCUCUACAUGUAAGCUAUCACUGAAGGAGGGGAUUGCGUCUGAUUAGCUAGUUGGGGGGGUAACGGCCCACCAAGGCGAUGAUCAGUAGGCGGUCUGAGAGGAGGAACGGCCACAUUGGGACUGGGAAACGGCCCAGACUCCUACGGGAGGCAGCAGUGGGGAAUCUUCCGCAAUGGACGGAAGGCUGACGGAGCAACGCCGCGUGGGUGAUGACGGCCUUCGGGUUGUAAAGCUCUGUUAAUCGGGACGAAAGGAAUUCUUGCGAAUAGUGGGAAGGAUUGACGGUACCGGAAUAGAAAGCCACGGCUAACUACGUG
Molecule: ribosomal RNA, 510 nt
Filed under: uncultured bacterium
Lineage: Bacteria
Description: partial 16S ribosomal RNA
Rfam family: Bacterial small subunit ribosomal RNA
Source: RNAcentral